Molecule: long non-coding RNA, 5465 nt
Filed under: Heterocephalus glaber (naked mole-rat)
Lineage: Eukaryota; Metazoa; Chordata; Mammalia; Rodentia; Bathyergidae
Description: lncRNA (ENSHGLG00100037908.1)
Source: RNAcentral
CCUCAGGCCAGGGCAGCCCCCGCCAGCGCCAGCCGGCCUGGCUCCGAUCUGCCCAGGCGCUCCCUCCCGCGCCCAGCUUCCCUGGCCAGAGCCAGGGCUCAGGCUGAGCAGCGGCUGGGGGAGGAGGGACCGGGACACUGUCCCCUGGCCCAUGGUGCCUUCCCAGCUCCACUUUGACCUGUCUGAAGGUCCCCGUGGUGUCCCCUCCUCUCCGAGAAGGGUCAUUCAACUUCCUGGAGAGGGCAAGCUUCCCAGUCAGUACCUGGCUUGGGGAGCGAAGUCCCUGGUAGAGGAGCAGGCCCUCGUCCUGUCUCUGCCAUCGUUAACAGCCACAAUUAUUGUUAUUUGGAGAGACAAGCCAGAGGUGGGGAGGGACGCGCUGGGGUGACUGAAAUGAAGUCCUCUGUACGCACCGUCUCGCCAGGUUAAUACUCCUGCCUGUCGGCCUGACAGCUGCAAGAUUGAUUACCCGGCCUCCCGCUCUUUAUAACUCGAUCAGUCGAAUUAAUCUCUGGCUGUCGGCCCAUCUGAUGCCUGAAUCACAAAUUUAAUUUGGAGGUGCCGCUCCUCCCCCAUGCCGUCCCUCCCCUCCCCUCCCCUCCUCCUGGUGGCCCCCUGGCUUCCGGGUCUCCUGCUCCUCCUGCCCUUCCUUCCCUCUGCAGCCUCCUGGCCACAGGGAGCAGUGUCAGGAGCAGGAGGAGGGAGUCACUGAGCCAGCAGCCCCCGGGCCCAGACCAGGGAGGGGUCACGCCCCCCACCCCGGCCAGGCGCCCACCAACUGGCUCCACCCCAAGCGGAGCAAGAGGCACGGCUGACACUAACUCUUCCCCUCCCCACCCGGUGUGUCGCUAUGGAAAGUGGCAGCAGCUGCUGGAGAAGGCAUACCCUUCACGAGCAUCAGCAAUUGCAGUGACUGAACGUCCCAGCCUUCUCUCCCAGUUAAUCUAACUUGGGAAGAAUUGAGGUGUAUUCUGGCUCUGCUGCCCAUGAAAGGCAGAGAAUAACAAGCCAGAGGCAUAAACAGAUGUGCAGAUAUCUGCAGCUGGCUCUUCCCUGCCAAAUUACCAUGGACAGAACCCUGGCAGGAGGCCAGGAUGCCUCCCUCUGUUUGGAGUUCAGCCACUGGGACCCAUCCAAGUUCACCAUCCAUUUGGCAACCUCUGAGUGAGGGGAGGAGAUGCCAAGGAAGGGAGUGGAGAGGCUGCAGGCAGCCUUGGGUUUGGAAAAGGCUCCGGAGGCUUCUCAUGAAGACUUGGGUGGGCGGAGGUAACAGGGUGGGGGAAGAACAGGAAGUUCUGACCAGGCCCUUCCUGGACAUUCCCUGGAGUCAUCUUCCCAGGGUUGGACUGACUGGGAGUGACCUCAGGGUGGAUUCUUACAGCACUGCAUGGGCCUCUCACUCAGAGAUUGGGCAUUCCUGGAUCUGUGAUUAUAGUGGCUUCCAGUUGGUAUGGAGUGCAGGGAGUAGGGAGCAACUGGAAGAGGGCCAGUCAGGUGUCCCUAAAGACUCCAGCCCUGGAACAAGAGAUGGGGAAGAAGCUGGUUGGGACUGUUGUGAAACCAGGGGACAAAGCAGGGGCCAGGGGAGAAAGCAUGAGCUGCAAGAAGUGUUGCCCAAGCAGCCUGUAUUUAUUGAUACCCCAGAUCUGAACUAGAGACAUCAAGCCACUUCUGAGCUCCCUUCAGAUAGAUCCAAAAGAAUCUUUUCUCUUUAUUAACUUGACUUUCUCAUCAAGUCUAUCCACAUAGGUUGGGGUGGCAUGGAGCAGUUUUCCUGAGCUAACGGGCACGGCUCACGGCAGACCAUGAAGGGACUGGAUUCUGUGAGCAAUGGGGAACUGCAGAGCCAUGUGGGAAUAGUGGUGGCCUCAAAGGAGGAGACUGGCCACAGAGUGAGGGGGGCGUAGAGGCCAGGUGAGAAGCAAGAUGGGGAGCCUAAUUUGGAGCCUGCUGUUGUCAUUCAAGUCUCAUGAUGGGACCCUGAGCUACACAGUGGGGAAGCAGAGGAGGGAUGAACAAAGGAAGAAUUGGUGGGGCUUGAUAGUGUAUUUAACAGGAAUCUGAGACAGAGAGAGACAGUGUGGCCAUAUACAUUACUGCCAGUCCAGAACAGUUUGAGUAUGAACAACAUCCAACCAGUAGUUUUACCAGAACUGGACAAUCCACACAAAUCUAGGUACAUAGACACUUUGGUUAAAAUGACCCAAAGCAUGGCACUUCCGGUGAUAGCAUUUAUAGGGAAGCUGCUGACCAAAGCAAGGAGGGGAGGAAGCAAGUGUCGGGGUGGGAGAAGACAGGGUGAGAGGCCUGGCCUGGGCAUGUUGAGGGGGAGCGUGGAGACACUGGCCUGCAAGGAACCAGGAGGCCACCCUUUGCCCAGCCUCCGUGAGUGGUAACUUGGAAAUGAACAAGAAGUCGGAAUUUGACAUAUAAUGCGUAUCUUUUGACCCACUAAUGCCACUUCUAGAAGUCUGAAUCUCAGAAAUACCCACUCUUCUGCAAAAUGGUGUCAUCUUGGAAGGCUUCCUGUGGCGUGGAUUGUAACUCUUGGAAGAAAUCUGCAGACCCCAGGAAGGGAGACCUGUCUUCCUGGUUCCCCUGUGGAGUUGCGCACCCGUGCAUUGAGCUCCACUCAUGUUACUGACCUGGGAAAACCUCUGACAUUUUUGAUUGAAAAGAGGAAAAUCCAAAAUAAUAGAAUGGCCUGCCAAAGCUAGAUAAUCAUUUUUCAAAUGCCUUUGUGGGGGCUGAGGGGUGAAUAUGUAAAAGGCCUGGAUCCACUGGAUUCUCAAGGGCAGUGAUUAUGGAGCAGAGGGUGGGACUGCAGGGGAGGAAGGAGAGCUCUCCACAAGCUUCUGAAUUGUUUGAGAAAUCUGUACAAGCAUACAGCUCAGGCCACAUUUGAAAAGGAUGCUAAACAGGAUUUUAAAAAGACAAACUGAGGAUUCCCUCGGUGAUGGGUGAAGGUCUAGGUGUGGGCGACAGCAGAGAUGGGCUAAAGCUUGAGACCCAUCCCCAUGAAGAGGCGGCCAUGAGAGCAGGGCAGGGCCAGGGGUGACGCCCAGAGCGUCAGAGUUGGCUUCUGACUCCCCAGACUGGGGAGAUGGGCUCCGCUCCACCAACCUGGCCACUGCAGCCCUUCCCUCCCGGACCCAACCCUGCCUCCGGAACUGAGCCUGCAGGAAGCCCAGCUCCCUCUCUGCCGGAUGUAUCUGAGCAGAUGCACAGCUACCCAGACUCUGCUGCCAGAGAAAAGCCCAAGCCCGCGGCGACAGCCCGGAACCCGCUCCCACCAGGCACCGAUGUCGGUUCUCUCCCCCCGGCUGGGCCUUCUCCAGCCGCUGAGUGAGGCCCUGAGGUCCGGAGAGGACACGUGGCUUAGUGGGCCGCGAAGCCAGCUGGGCUGAAGGACGACUGGAGCUGGAGCGAGGCUGCGCCCUUAAUUCUGUCAGGGACCUUGGAGCAAGGGUCCUCUGUCUCGGCCCUAUAAAGAGGUCAGCAACUUCCUCAAAGCGGGGCGCUAGAGCCUGCCGGCCGCCCCUAAGAGAGGCCGACAGCUCGCCUGCCCUCCUGGCCGCCGGUCCCGCCCGAGCCGCUCGGCGCUGGGUGCUCCUCUCCUGACCCGGGUCCAGCCGGCCUCACGCGAGGCAAGUCCCGCCCUCGCGGGGCCACGGCUUGUUCUCCUCCCCCGAAUCCGGACCCCUUCAGAUCGCUCUGCCCACUCCGGCCUGCAGGAGCCCGCAGCGCAGCUCCACUCCUGCUCCCCGUCUGGGCUCCGUCUGCCCGGUCCCUCCCCGGCCCCGGCCCGGCCCGGCCCCCAGGCCCUCGCCCUCGCAGAACCGUGCGCGCGGCCGGGCGGGCGCGCGGCCGGGCGGGCGGGCGGGUUGAUUAUUGCUCCUCCGCCCCCCGCAAGAUGUAUCUGACUGUCAGGGGUGACAGAUGAAGACGAAGUGCAGGUGCGGCUCCGCGUCCUGCCGGGUUAACCCCUCCGCCGCCGGGGGGCGCUGAGCGGAGCGCGUGCGCGUGCGCGUGCCCCGCUGAGGCCACAGCCUCGCCUUCCCUCCCUGGCGUCCUUUUCCCCUUGCCUCCUCCCGCCACCGGCAAACGAGGUGAAAUAAUUACUCUCCAUUUAAACGCCCCACGUUUAAGCCAGAAUGAAAACAAAGUGAUUUAAUGAAAUUGUCUUUAAAAAAGAAAAUAAACGUCUGCUCCGCUGCCCUCCCUGGCCUGCAGGGAGGCCCCAAGCCCUUCAAAGUUAAUUAAAACAGGAACUAAAAUCACAUAAUCACUUGAGAGCCCUUCCGUCUCUGUCUGCAAGGUAAGGCAGCCCCAGGCCCGCCUCAGCCCGACCCUGAGGGCUCCCCUGCCUGCCUGUCCCUGGGGGACCCCUGCCCUUCCCGCAGACACCCGCGCGAGGGUCUGACCUCCCACUCCCGAGUCAUCAAAGGCCCGUGCUGGAGCCUGGUCGUCUCCGGGAGCCGCCUCCCCCUCUCAGGACGCGCCCAGCCUCGGCCCCCUGCGGCCCUCCCCGCAUGCGAGCCGCCGCUGCUCUGAGCUUUAUCUGUCUUCGCUGACCCCUGGCCUGGUCCUCAGCUCCCGCUCAGCACAGUUCCAGCUGCUUCCGCCUGGUCUGUGUCUGUUCCCCAUCAGAGGCCCCGCUGGAGCGCCAGCCCUUCAGCAGCCCAGAUAAAAGAGAUGGAUAGAGAUUUUUCCAAUCAAGGAAAAACUCGAAGGUCCUGGCCCGGCCUGCCUGUCACCGCCAGAAGUAUCCACCAGAUGGCACUCUUUCCACACUUCCUGUACUUCCAAGAGUUGCCAGAGAUGUCGCUUUGGGGCUGGGGCGCGACGUUGGCGGAGCCAGGUGUGCGGGCGCCUCCCUACUCCCCCUUCCCCCAGCGUCACGAGUGUCCUAGUGUCCUCCGUCCCCAGAGUCUGCGGUCUGGGCUUCUCCGAAGGCGAAGGCGGGGUCGUCCUCUCCAGCCGAGCCUCGGGCUUCUGUCGCCGAGCCGCCCCGCCUGGGGGCUCUGGCUCCGCCCAGUCCUAAACCGCCGGCCCGGGCUCCGUCUCGGGCUCCUUCUCCGCGUCGGUUCGGCGUGCGGCUGAAGGACUCGCUUCCCCACGAGGCCCGGGCGUGUCAGCCGGGGUCACGGGCACACACGUGUACCCACGGCCCCUCAUCUCACCCCUCACAGUGCCCCUGCGCCGAGUGGGGACGCCCAGCCCGGGACCGCCAGACUUGGGGGGAGGAGCCAGCAGGCCUCGAGGCCCGCGAAGCCUGGGCUCCGGAGGGGCGGCUUCUUCUUGGGGGCCUCUGCUCGAUAGGGGCGGCUUCCCGUCCUGUCUGCCCCAUCGAUCGGGCCUGGACUCCUGAUGGACACCCUAGGGCGUCUUGGGGAAGCCGCCUGAGGCCCUGGAGGCGGGGCGGCGGGGCGGGGCGGGGCGGACUCGUCCCGGCUAGGUCCUGG